UAGUGAUUAGGUUUGUCGAGGCAUUCCAGG
RNAcentral lists this non-coding RNA (30 nucleotides) under Mus musculus (house mouse). The record is from RNAcentral. Lineage: Eukaryota; Metazoa; Chordata; Mammalia; Rodentia; Muridae.